This is a ribosomal RNA of 159 nucleotides. It matches the Rfam family "Bacterial large subunit ribosomal RNA", at positions 2770 to 2925 of the family's 2925-position model.
GCUGAAAGCAUCUAAGCAUGAAGCCCCCCUCAAGAUGAGAUUUCCCAACUUCGGUUAUAAGAUCCCUCAAAGAUGAUGAGGUUAAUAGGUUCGAGGUGAAAGCAUAGCGAUAUGUGUAGCUGACGAAUACUAAUCGAUCGAAGACUUAAUCAAAUUUUA